Molecule: ribosomal RNA, 497 nt
Filed under: uncultured bacterium
Lineage: Bacteria
Description: partial 16S ribosomal RNA
Rfam family: Bacterial small subunit ribosomal RNA
Source: RNAcentral
GAUGAACGCUGGCGGCGUGCCUAAUACAUGCAAUUCGAGCGAACGGACUAGAAGCUUGCUUCUCUGAUUUUAGCUGCGGACGGGUGAGUAACACGUGGAUAACCUACCUAUAAGACUGGGAUAACUUCGGGAAACCGGAGCUAAUACCGGAUGAUAUUUUUAACCGCAUGGUUCAAAGGUGAAAGACGGUCUUGCUGUCACUUAUAGAUGGAUCCGCGCUGCCUUAGCUAGUUGGUAAUGUAACGGCUUACCAAGGCAACGCUGCAUAGCCGACCUGAGAGGGAGAAAGCACACACAGCAACGGAGACACGGUCAUGAAGCCAACGAAAGGCAGCAGCAGGGUAUCUUCGGCAAUGGGCGAAAGAAUGACCGACAGACGCGGCAUGAGGGAUGAAGGUCUAAGGAUACUAAUACGAUGUGAUAAGGGAAGAAGACAGGUGCAAGCAACCAUGAACAUCUUGACGGUACUUAGCCAGAAAGCCACGGCUAAAUACGUG